This is a long non-coding RNA of Rhagoletis pomonella (apple maggot), 303 nucleotides long. RefSeq lists it as uncharacterized. The transcript is spliced from 2 exons. Lineage: Eukaryota; Metazoa; Arthropoda; Insecta; Diptera; Tephritidae. The record is from RefSeq and is a predicted model, not a curated record.
CGACAUCGAUAUUUUCGAUGCAUUGAUGUUUUUUCGACAUUCCUAGUUCCAGCCAGUCAGCUAAUCUUUUCAGGAAAAUAGGCGAUUAAUUGAUAUCAUUUUCCAUAAAUAUAUUUAUUGUUGCAAAGAUAAAAGUGCAAAUUUAGUAGUAAUCGGAAGUUUCGAGCAACGCAAUACUACAAAACUGAUGUUGGUAAUUAAUUGCGUGGAUUUACAUUCUGCCUGAACCUGUGGAUAUUAUUGCGAGAAAAUUUCUGUGCACUGUAGCAAACGCCAAGAAAAGCCAUUGUUGAAAGAAUCGGA